CAGCCGCCGCGGUAAUACAGAGGGUGCAAGCGUUAAUCGGAAUUACUGGGCGUAAAGCGCGCGUAGGUGGUUUGUUAAGUUGGAUGUGAAAUCCCCGGGCUCAACCUGGGAACUGCAUCCAAAACUGGCAAGCUAGAGUAUGGUAGAGGGUGGUGGAAUUUCCUGUGUAGCGGUGAAAUGCGUAGAUAUAGGAAGGAACACCAGUGGCGAAGGCGACCACCUGGACUGAUACUGACACUGAGGUGCGAAAGCGUGGGGAGCAAACAGGAUUAGAUACCCCGGUAGUCCCUGUCUCUUAUAC
RNAcentral lists this ribosomal RNA (301 nucleotides) under uncultured bacterium. RNAcentral describes it as "partial 16S ribosomal RNA". It matches the Rfam family "Bacterial small subunit ribosomal RNA", at positions 509 to 807 of the family's 1533-position model. The record is from RNAcentral.